GAGUUGCGAACGGGUGAGUAACGCGUAGGUAACCUGCCUUGUAGCGGGGGAUAACUAUUGGAAACGAUAGCUAAUACCGCAUAACAGUAUGUAACACAUGUUAGAUGCUUGAAAGAUGCAAUUGCAUCGCUAGUAGAUGGACCUGCGUUGUAUUAGCUAGUUGGUGAGGUAACGGCUCACCAAGGCGACGAUACAUAGCCGACCUGAGAGGGUGAUCGGCCACACUGGGACUGAGACACGGCCCAGACUCC
This 251-nucleotide ribosomal RNA is filed under the name uncultured Streptococcus sp. RNAcentral describes it as "partial 16S ribosomal RNA". It matches the Rfam family "Bacterial small subunit ribosomal RNA", at positions 93 to 339 of the family's 1533-position model. The record is from RNAcentral. Lineage: Bacteria; Bacillati; Bacillota; Bacilli; Lactobacillales; Streptococcaceae.